GACGAACGCUGGCGGCGUGCUUAACACAUGCAAGUCGAACGGAAAGGCCCUGCUUUUGUGGGGUGCUCGAGUGGCGAACGGGUGAGUAACACGUGAGUAACCUGCCCUUGACUUUGGGAUAACUUCAGGAAGCUGGGGCUAAUACCGGAUAGGAGCUCCUGCUGCAUGGUGGGGGGUGGAAAGUUUCGGCGGUUGGGGAUGGACUCGCGGCGUAUCAGCUUGUUGGUGGGGUAGUGGCUUACCAAGGCUUUGACGGGUAACCGGCCUGAGAGGGUGACCGGCCACAUUGGGACUGAGAUACGGCCCAGACUCCUACGGGAGGCAGCAGUGGGGAAUAUUGCACAAUGGGCGGAAGCCUGAUGCAGCAACGCCGCGUGCGGGAUGACGGCCUUCGGGUUGUAAACCGCUUUCGCCUGUGACGAAGCGUGAGUGACGGUAAUGGGUAAAGAAGCACCGGCUAACUACGUG
This 468-nucleotide ribosomal RNA is filed under the name uncultured bacterium. RNAcentral describes it as "partial 16S ribosomal RNA". It matches the Rfam family "Bacterial small subunit ribosomal RNA", at positions 28 to 507 of the family's 1533-position model. The record is from RNAcentral.